Molecule: ribosomal RNA, 460 nt
Filed under: uncultured bacterium
Lineage: Bacteria
Description: partial 16S ribosomal RNA
Rfam family: Bacterial small subunit ribosomal RNA
Source: RNAcentral
CCUACGGGAGUCAGCAGUGAGGAAUAUUGGUCAAUGGACGAGAGUCUGAACCAGCCAAGUAGCGUGAAGGAUGACUGCCCUAUGGGUUGUAAACUUCUUUUAUAAAGGAAUAAAACGAGGCACGUGUGCCUUUUUGCAUGUACUUUAUGAAUAAGGAUCGGCUAACUCCGUGCCAGCAGCCGCGGUAAUACGGAGGAUCCGAGCGUUAUCCGGAUGUAUCGGGUUUAAAGGGAGCGUAGAUGGGUUGUUAAGUCAGUUGUGAAAGUUUGCGGCUCAACCGUAAAAUUGCAAUUGAUACUGGCAGUCUUGAGUACAGUUGAGGUAGGCGGAAUUCGUGGUGUAGCGGUGAAAUGCUUAGAUAUCACGAAGAACCCCGAUUGCGAAGGCAGCUUACUAAACUGUGACUGACAUUGAUGCUCGAAAGUGUGGGGAUCAAACAGGAUUAGAUACCCGAGUAGUC